UGCCACUGUAACUGGGAUGACCACCUAGGUGAAAAGGCAAAAAUUAUUAGAACUGAAUCAUGGAUUUUGAUGUCACUGAAACCAGAGGUGAACUCGGGGCUUACAAAGGGGUAAGAACUUCACCCCAAGUGUUUCACUGCAAGACGAUGCAUUUGUUACUUGUGAUACGCACCUGAGAAAGGAUGCCAGUGUGAACUCAUGUGUUUAUACCAAUCCAGAUUAAGUCUAAGAAGAGCAAAGAUUUACAAGAGACAUCUGACCACUUAAUCAAAGCAGGUUGGAACUGUGCCUGAGAUGUCUGCACAACCUCUUACAGCAACCCUAUACCCUGCCUCAGAUAGCUGUGGUGGUGCCAGCCUCCAUCUGCCAUUCAUUAAAUUUCUCAGCACCUGCCUCUGUGAUUUCACUUACGCUCCAUGUCACACUCACAAAGCUGCAUUCUUCUCUUUCAAAUCUGACCUUAAAAAUGCUUCCUUCAAAUGAGGCCCGGCAGGCCUUUGGCAGUGCCACCUGAAGAAUCAUGUCCACCAUUGCUGGGCAUGAGGAAAAAUUUCUUCACUGAAGGGCUUGUCAGGCAUUGGAAGAGGGUGCCCAGGGAAGUGGUUGAGUCACCAUCCCUGGAGGUAUUUAAAAAACAUGUAGAUGUGGUAUUUACAUGCAUGGUUUAGUGGUGAAAGACACCUCAGCGUCAAGAAAGCUAAAGGUACAGAACUGAAACUCAAAUCAAAGUAAUUGAAAUAUAUUAUGUAAACAUACACUGUAGUCAAAGGAAUAUAAACCCAGAAAUUCCUAAUAACAUGAAAAAGCUCAGUGAUGGAAAAGAAGCAGUCAUGUUGAUAAUGAUGGAAUAAGCAAUAACAGGUUUGGAUUCCCAAUCUGCAAGGCACUGAAGUGCGUGAUUAUUUCUGUUGAAUUCAAUGGAAAUGCUUUUGUUCAAGUGCCUUGUUUCUGUUAAAAUGUCUUAUUUUCAUGAUAUAAGAAUAAAGAUGAUCUGUUGAAGCUGAGAUGGAGAAGGUAGAUUGUUAAUCAGCCUAGUUCAACAGGUACUUGUUGCACAAACAAGUUAUAGUUGCUGUAAAAAGGGAUUUCUUCCUCAUGAAGACAUGUGAAUGGCCAGUGGUAUUUAUUUACUUCCAUUAGUGGGAGGGUUAAUAUUAAGUAUCAGCACUUGGAGACUGAAAUACUUUCUGUCCGCAACAAAAUGAUUACUUGUGUAAAUAUGCAGUGUGUGAUUACAGGUGUUAGUGUGCACAUAGGCUUCAGAGAAGAGCACAGCACACGAAUAGGAGAAUUUUUCCCUGAGUGAGAAAGAACACAGUAUCCAUAGAUGGCCUCUAAAGAAUGUGCUAGUUGGGUCAGACCUCUUCAAGGUCUUGCUCUUCAACGAAUUUGCAUCACUUGCUAUGCCUUGGAGUAAAAAUAAGGUACUCGCAGCUUGCUCUGAUUUAGUUUGCUAACUACAACCUUAAUCAUACUUGGAUGAGAAGGCUAGUAUUUACUAUACCAUAUGGCUGCUGGAGUCUGAGCAGAGACCAGUGCGUUGUCUUUCCUGUGGUCUCCCUGAAAGCCUUGGAGAUAAUCCCACUAUCUUGCUUGCACAAGGAGAAAAAGGAUUUCCUCUAUUUUAUUUCACCUGCACUUGUAACAGUAAGUAGAGCCUAAGACAGGCGAAGCUGAGGCAGUGCCUAGCUACCACGUUCCGUGUACAAAGGCAGUCACUUGGAAGAAACCAACACACACUUUUGGAAUAGAGGGCUAGACUUCAGCUACUAUAGUAUAAAAUCAGAUUAGCUCCAGAGAAGCAGGAUUUAUCACCAUCUCACAGCAGUGAUGCAGUUCUGAGUCUGGCCCACGAUGCUUUCAUUCCACUUCUAUCAAUGUACUGAGUGAAUUCCUACUCCGGUCCACUAACUUCACAAGACAAAUAACACUCAUGAACAAGCUCAUAGCUUGUUGGGAGCAAAGUAGGACAAUGGGAUAAUACUGUACUUGCAUAGGACUGAUGGCAGGAGACCAGCCAGCUGUGAAGAGACUCAAAACCAAAGAAGAAUCAACUUACAGGAAGAGAGGAAAAGAAGAGCACUUUUCAUCCCUUUCCCUCAGCACAUAAAUGAAUUGUGCAUCUUUGGAGGAACAUUUGCAGCUGAAGACUUGAAGACCUUGAAAACAGGAUGACAGAGCUGUAGACCAAAGAGGGAUCAAAGAGUUGCAGAAAGCAGAGGUGGGCUGUCAGCACAUGGAGGUGGAAUCAGGAUGGAAAUGGGGAGAGCUUAUUUGGGGUUUCUACCUGGCAAGAGCUUAUUAAAAAGUGAGAACUUACUGGAAAAAUAAAAAUAAAGAAUUCUGACUUUCACUGCGUACAUCCUAACAAGAAAGUCCUAGAGCACUCACUGAAAGAGUCGAUCACAGUAAUGCCAGAUAAUCAGUCCAGGGAAUACACUGGAAAAUCAUAUCCAGCAAAUACAGGUUCUUUUCCUAAAUGUGCAUGCUAGCACAUCUCCCACUUACCCUUAACAAGGAGAGUCUCACCUUUUUU
Molecule: long non-coding RNA, 2536 nt
Organism: Pezoporus flaviventris
Lineage: Eukaryota; Metazoa; Chordata; Aves; Psittaciformes; Psittacidae
Exons: 4
Source: RefSeq, a predicted model, not a curated record